GCACAACGCGAAGAACCUUACCUGGUCUUGACAUAGUAAGAACUUUCCAGAGAUGGAUUGGUGCCUUCGGGAACUUACAUACAGGUGCUGCAUGGCUGUCGUCAGCUCGUGUCGUGAGAUGUUGGGUUAAGUCCCGCAACGAGCGCAACCCUUUCCUUAUUUGCCAGCGGGUUAAGCCGGGAACUUUAAGGAUACUGCCAGUGACAAACUGGAGGAAGGCGGGGACGACGUCAAGUCAUCAUGGCCCUUACGACCAGGGCUACACACGUGCUACAAUGGUCGGUACAAAGGGUUGCUACCUAGCGAUAGGAUGCUAAUCUCAAAAAGCCGAUCGUAGUCCGGAUUGGAGUCUGCAACUCGGCUCCAUGAAGUCGGAAUCGCUAGUAAUCGCGGAUCAGAAUGCCGCGGUGAAUACGUUCCCGGGUCUUGUACACACCG
Molecule: ribosomal RNA, 438 nt
Filed under: uncultured bacterium
Lineage: Bacteria
Description: bacterial SSU rRNA
Rfam family: Bacterial small subunit ribosomal RNA
Source: RNAcentral